RNAcentral lists this ribosomal RNA (456 nucleotides) under uncultured bacterium. RNAcentral describes it as "bacterial SSU rRNA". It matches the Rfam family "Bacterial small subunit ribosomal RNA", at positions 34 to 507 of the family's 1533-position model. The record is from RNAcentral.
CGCUGGCGGCGUGCUUAACACAUGCAAGUCGAAGGGUAAGGCCCUUCGGGGUACACGAGUGGCGAACGGGUGAGUAACACGUGGGUGAUCUGCCCUGCACUUCGGGAUAAGCCUGGGAAACUGGGUCUAAUACCGGAUAGGACCAUGGACUUCACGGUUUGUGGUGGAAAGCUUUUGCGGUGUGGGAUGGGCCCGCGGCCUAUCAGCUUGUUGGUGGGGUAAUGGCCUACCAAGGCGACGACGGGUAGCCGGCCUGAGAGGGUGUCCGGCCACACUGGGACUGAGAUACGGCCCAGACUCCUACGGGAGGCAGCAGUGGGGAAUAUUGCACAAUGGGCGCAAGCCUGAUGCAGCGACGCCGCGUGAGGGAUGACGGCCUUCGGGUUGUAAACCUCUUUCAAUAGGGACGAAGCGCAAGUGACGGUACCUAUAGAAGAAGCACCGGCCCACUACGUG